This 253-nucleotide ribosomal RNA is filed under the name uncultured bacterium. RNAcentral's name for it is "partial 16S ribosomal RNA". It matches the Rfam family "Bacterial small subunit ribosomal RNA", at positions 524 to 776 of the family's 1533-position model. The record is from RNAcentral.
AACGUAGGUUCCGAGCGUUAUCCGGAUUUACUGGGCGUAAAGCGCGUUCAGGCGGUUUGGCAAGUCGGGCAUGAAAUCUCUGGGCUCAACCCGGAGAGGUUGUCCGAUACUGCUAAACUGGAGGGCAGUAGAGGGUGGUGGAAUUCCGGGUGUUGUGGUGAAAUGCGUAGAGAUCCGGAGGAACACCAGUGGCGAAAGCGGCCACCUGGACUGCACCUGACGCUGAAACGCGAAAGCUAGGGGAGCGAACGGG